AUUGAAAUGUAGUGCAGAAAAUUGAUUUCUUUAGUUACCUAGCCUACUGUGCUACGUCAACACUUCAUUCAUCACUCACUCUACUCACCUUCUUUUAUUAAAGAGGAAAAUACUUCACACUACCAAAACACUCACUUGCACUUAUGUUAUCAAUUACCCAGGCGCUCAUUCAAACACAAAAUACUUGAAACACAUUUCACAGAAAGAGGGAAGGAACAUCAUAAAAUAGAAGGUGUUAGUAAAGAUGAAAAACAUCAUUAAAUGCAUCUACUACAAUGAUGCAAAGUGGCUGCGAUUCUAAUUAGAUAAACAACGACCUAAAGAGAUGUCUUGGCAGCCAUAUAGAGGUUGAAGGAUUACUUCCUCAAUUUUGUUUAUCUGGAAGACGUACUUGAAACUCAUUAAUAUUAUUGAUUUGCUUCCGCAUUAUAGAAUGACAUCAACCUGAUCCUUGCCUCCAAUAAUUUGGGAUGGACCAACAUAUACCUCUGGCAACAUACCAGGAUGAACGCUACAUUCAAUUGACUUACGGGAUUACACUGAUAUUGAUUGGUAGUACAAAUUUCAAUCAUUCAUUCAAGUGUAGAACAACCGUCUCUCUUAUACGGUUUUAUCUUGUCUAUUCCAAGCACCUUUAGGCGCUCACUCAAACGUUGGAUUUCAUUUCGAGGUGCUAAAGUUGGAGCUGUGGCAGAUGGACUCCAACAUAUAUAUUCCAGUUCAAGAUCACGAACACGUAGAACUUCAUCAUUCCAUUGAAAAUUAUUUAGUUUAUUCGGUGCAAUGAACGACAAAAUUCGUACCAAAACUCAUUCUAUGCUUCAAUUUGCCCCUCCAUCUAUAGAGUUUAAACGUGUUCAAAUACCAAAAGAACUACAAAGACGAAGAAGAUGUAAAAUGACAUAUGGACAUAUUUCAAUUGAAGCUCUGCCAACAGACAAUAUACCUCAAGUUCCUUCCCCGACACAUCAUCUUCUGUAUCCAACUUGAGUGUACCAUCUGCAACAUUAGAAAUCCCAUCGAACACUCAUUAUACUUAGAUGAUGGCAACGUCAUUUCAAUAUACAGUACUUACUUCAAUACUUCUGCAGUGUCUUUCGGCACACAUGAUGAAUCUAUAUCUCUUGCUA
Molecule: long non-coding RNA, 1130 nt
Organism: Jatropha curcas
Lineage: Eukaryota; Viridiplantae; Streptophyta; Magnoliopsida; Malpighiales; Euphorbiaceae
Source: RefSeq, a predicted model, not a curated record